Sander lucioperca (pikeperch) is the source of this 345-nucleotide long non-coding RNA. RefSeq lists it as uncharacterized. Lineage: Eukaryota; Metazoa; Chordata; Actinopteri; Perciformes; Percidae. The transcript is spliced from 3 exons. The record is from RefSeq and is a predicted model, not a curated record.
AUUUUCUGUAACCACAUCAACCUCACCUUGGGGCUGGUUAUGGGACUACAGAGACUGGGUCCUGAUAUAUUGGCCUUCAGUUUUAAAUAAGUUGCAUUCAUUCUGAGCCAUACCCUUGUUAUUUGUUUGUUAGAUUACAUCUUUGUCCAUGGUGUGUCCAUUUUGUGUCCACGCAAGUAAAUGUGCAGCAGCCAACUUGUAUGACAGUGAAGUUUCCAUAUCUGAUGCCAGGUAAAGUCAUUGAAUGUGCACUUUUAUGUAUUGUCAUGUUUAUAUUUUUAAAUAUAUUUAUAUCUGGAGGCUUGUGAGAAGAACUAUUGAAAAAAAAUAAAGUAUGUGAACAUA